Bombus impatiens (common eastern bumble bee) is the source of this 309-nucleotide long non-coding RNA. RefSeq lists it as uncharacterized. The transcript has 2 exons. NCBI's taxonomy places the organism in Eukaryota, Metazoa, Arthropoda, Insecta, Hymenoptera, Apidae. The record is from RefSeq and is a predicted model, not a curated record.
AGUAAGAGUUUUCCUUUGCAACAGCAUCGUCAUCGGACUUCACUGGAUCUACGACUACAGAACAGUCAACAUCUCUUUACUGAGUUUUCACCCUUCAAUCAUUCACCUACUUAAUUUAUACCUUACGCACCAGCGUAACUAUCUUUUCUACAAAGUUGUUAGAAUUAUAUAAUAUCUUUGAACAGUCAACAUCUCUUUAUCGGGUUUUCACCCUUCAAUCAUUCACCUACUUAAUUUAUACCUUACGCACCAGCGUAACUAUCUUUUCUACAAAGUUGUUGGAAUUAUAUAAUAUCUUUGAACUGUUAA